GCCUGGUUGGCUCGGUAGGUUAAGCGUCUGACUCUUGAUUUAGGUUCAGCUCAUGAUCUCGCAGUUUGUGGGUUCAAGCCCCACAUCAGGCU
This 92-nucleotide transfer RNA is filed under the name Felis catus (domestic cat). It matches the Rfam family "tRNA". From Rfam's summary of the family: Transfer RNA (tRNA) molecules are approximately 80 nucleotides in length. Their secondary structure includes four short double-helical elements and three loops (D, anti-codon, and T loops). Lineage: Eukaryota; Metazoa; Chordata; Mammalia; Carnivora; Felidae. RNAcentral also lists the same sequence under 2 other names. The record is from Rfam by way of RNAcentral.